GACGAACGCUGGCGGCGUGCUUAACACAUGCAAGUCGAACGGAAAGGCCCUGCUUUUGUGGGGUGCUCGAGUGGCGAACGGGUGAGUAACACGUGAGUAACCUGCCCUUGACUUUGGGAUAACUUCAGGAAACUGGGGCUAAUACCGGAUAGGAGCUCCUGCUGCAUGGUGGGGGUUGGAAAGUUUCGGCGGUUGGGGAUGGACUCGCGGCUUAUCAGCGUGUUGGUGGGGUAGUGGCUUACCAAGGCUUUGACGGGUAGCCGGCCUGAGAGGGUGACCGGCCACAUUGGGACUGAGAUACGGCCCAGACUCCUACGGGAGGCAGCAGUGGGGAAUAUUGCACAAUGGGCGGAAGCCUGAUGCAGCAACGCAGCGUGCGGGAUGACGGCCUUCGGGUUGUAAACCGCUUUCGCCUGUGACGAAGCGUGAGUGACGGUAAUGGGUAAAGAAGCACCGGCUAACUACGUG
This 468-nucleotide ribosomal RNA is filed under the name uncultured bacterium. RNAcentral's name for it is "partial 16S ribosomal RNA". It matches the Rfam family "Bacterial small subunit ribosomal RNA", at positions 28 to 507 of the family's 1533-position model. The record is from RNAcentral.